GCGUCAACACCCAGUGCCUCGGUGUCUGUGCCCGCGGCGGAGGCGACGGAGGCGCCGAGUCAGGGCGUGCGGCUGAGAUGCCAUUAAGCACGACUGGCGUCCUGAGCUCGUCUUCUACCACUUCCAACAGGUCGCGGAAUAGGACUCGCUAUCGGACCAAAGCUGUGAGCUCUGAGGUGGAUGAGAGCCUCUUUGGGGGUGUCAAGCCCCUGGCCCAGAAUGACAGCCCCAUCGUGCUGCUCCGAGAUAAGCAUGCCAUUCAGAAAACUCUCACUGCCCUGGGCUUGGACCACAAGCCAGAGACCAUCCAGCUCAUCACCCGGGACAUGGUCCGGGAGCUCAUUGUUCCCACCAAGGAUCCCUCCGGGGAAUCCCUUAUCAUGAGCCCUGAGGAGUUUGAGCGGAUCAAAUGGGCAUCCCACGUCCUGACUCGAGAAGAACUGGAGGCCAGGGAGCAGGCCUUCAGGAAGGAGAAGGAAGCCAUCAUGGAUGCAGUGAGCACACGCAAGAAGAUCAUGAAACAGAAGGAAAUGGUUUGGAGGAACAACAAGAAGCUGAGCGACCUGGAGGAGGUAGCCAAGGAGAGGGCCCAGAACCUCCUGCAGAGAGCCGACAAGCUGCGGAUGGAGCAGGAGGAGGAGCUCAAGGACAUGAGCAAGAUCAUCCUCAAUGCCAAGUGCCAUGCCAUCCGGGAUGCUCAAAUCCUGGAGAAGCAGCUGAUCCAAAAAGAAUUGGAGGCAGAGGAGAAGCGGCUGGAUCAGAUGAUGGAGGUGGAGCGGCAGAAAUCCAUUCAAAGGCAGGAGGAGCUGGACAGGAAGAGGAGGGAAGAAAGAGUCCGAGGAAGACGGCAUAUCGUGGAACAGAUGGAAAAGAACCAGGAAGAGCGAUCGCUGCUUGCUGAACAGCGGGAGCAGGAGAAGGAGCAGAUGCUGGAGUACAUGGAACAGCUCCAAGAGGAGGAUCUAAGGGACAUGGAACGGAGGCACCAGCAAAAACUGAAGAUGCAAGCUGAGAUUAAGCGUAUCAAUGACGAAAACCAGAAACAGAAAGCAGAGCUGCUGGCUCAGGAGAAGCUAGCAGACCAGAUGGUGAUGGAGUUCACCAAGAAGAAGAUGGCUCGAGAAGCAGAGUUUGAGGCUGAGCAGGAGAGAAUCCGGAGGGAGAAGGAGAAGGAGAUAGCCCGCCUGAGGGCCAUGCAGGAGAAGGCCCAGGAUUACCAGGCAGAGCAGGAUGCCUUGCGGGCUAAGCGCAACCAGGAGGUUGCAGACAGAGAGUGGCGCAGAAAGGAAAAGGAAAAUGCACAGAAGAAGGUGGAAACAGAGGCCAGACUGCGGAAAAGUCGGCUGGAACAGGUGGCUUUCAAGGAGCACACUCUGGCUGUUCAGGUGCAACGGGACCGAGAUGAGUUCGAGAGGAUUCUUCGGGCUCAGAGAGAGCAGAUUGAAAAAGAGAGGCUGGAGGAGGAGAAGAAGGCGACGGGGCGCUUACAGCACGCCAACGAGCUCCGGCGCCAGGUGCGCGAGAACCAGCAGAAGCAGGUGCAGGACCGGAUCGCCACCUUCGAGGAGGGCCGGCGCCUCAAAGAGGAGGCUCAGAAGCGGCGUGAGCGCAUUGAUAACAUCAAAAAGAAAAAGCUGGAAGAGCUGAGAGCCACCGGCCUUCCUGAGAAGUACUGCAUUGAAGCUGAGCGCAAAGCUAACAUCCUGCCAGCCACCUCUGUGAACUGAGGGCUGCCUGUGUGUCCCUCGGGAUGCUUUCAUGAGACAGAUUCCGCCCAGUCUCUGGGGCCCAGCACAAGGCCCAGCCCUGCAUGAAUGGAUGAAGGUUCUGCAGGAUAUGGCUGAUUUCCGUAAGGUGAAAACAUCUUUUAUCUUCAGUGUCUUUUAAUUCUUCUUCAGGUUUGUCAUCAGGAAUUCACAUACUCUUUACAAGCGAAUUCUUCUUUCCUCCACUGUUCCCUGGAUAACAGCUCAAUUCCUAACAUUUAAUCAACCACCCUUUGCCCUGGUGUUUUGUGGAUAGACUGGUGGGUUAGGCCACCCCUUUCAGUGAUGGGGACCAUUUCAGUGCAGUUUGCUUUUAUGAGUCCAGGUCAGCUGCAGGGUAUCACUUGAUGGGAGAGCUCUGGGCAUAUCCAGGCUCCUUCCUGGGCUCCCCCCUUCUUCUGAGGUGGACCAGCAGGAAUCACCAAGGCUUGGGAAGCCUGAGCAGGGGCUCAGGGAGUCCCUGGGUGGCAUGUGUCCGAAACUCUUGCCCGUCAGCCCUGAUCUGGGCUUCAAUCCCUAACCCCGACCCAGAUCUUGAAACUGAACCCCACACACAGAUCUUGUCCCUCUCUCUGUAACGAACCCUAACCCUUCCUUGUCUGGCCUCGACAGUCUCCCAUCAUACCACCUGUACCACCUCUAAGUUGCCUACUCUUCUCAUCCAACCAUGCCCUCACCUGGCAAUCCUCCAGCCCCAAGCCUUCACUGAGAGCUGGGCGGAAAGGCAGCAGCUGCCCUGGCUCCCUGGCUUCUCCGUGACUGUGUGCCUCUGUCUGCCCUCUCUGAGAUGCAGUAUUGUGUUGACUAUACCACGGCUAUUCAGGACUCCUGCUCCCAGACCAUUUCCUCAGAGGUUUUCUCUGCACUGCCACUCCCAGGGCUGGCUGUACACUCCUUGGUGUUGCAGGGGUGAGCCUAGGUCUACAUGGGGUCUUGGGAGUGGGGCUAAGCAGCCUGCCGACUGUGUGUUGGGGGAGUUUAAAAGGGUCAAGUUGUAGACCUUGGGCCCUGAAGAAGAGAUGGGGGCUUGAGCCCGAGCCUCGGGAGCCUGGGGGUAGGGGAUGGGGGUAGGCCAGGCAGGUGAGGGUAGGGUACAGGGCUUGUGUAGAGUUGCUGAGAAGGGCACUCUGGAGGAAGAGUAGAUGGGUCAAGGCCUCUGUCUGUCCUUCCCCAAGACGUUCUGGGGUUGGACUGCGCCUCAUCUCCGAAGCAGUCUGGGCUUCUCCAGGUCCUGGUCCCCUCUCUCCCCACCUCCUCUAUCUCUGUUCACUCCUUUCUAAGCCUCUGUCUUUGAUUUUGUUUCUGUCUUAGAAGAGAAGCAAAUACCACUCAAAUUGGGGCAUGUGCACAAAA
Equus quagga is the source of this 3119-nucleotide RNA transcript. It is a transcript of the gene named cilia and flagella associated protein 45, with no coding region annotated. The record is from RefSeq and is a predicted model, not a curated record. The transcript is spliced from 13 exons. NCBI's taxonomy places the organism in Eukaryota, Metazoa, Chordata, Mammalia, Perissodactyla, Equidae.